UCAAAAUUUGAAAUCUUAUCCCCAAAACCUCAUUUCUCAACUCUAAAACCUAAACCCUAAACUCUAAACCCUAAACCCUAAACCCUAAACCCUAAAAUCUAAACCCUAAACCCUAAACUCUAAACCCUAAACCCUAAACCUAAACCUUAAACCCUAAAUUCUAAAUUCUAAACCCUAAACCCUAAACUCUAAACCCUAAACCCUAAACCCUAAAUCCUAAAUCCCA
Molecule: long non-coding RNA, 226 nt
Filed under: Brassica napus (rape)
Lineage: Eukaryota; Viridiplantae; Streptophyta; Magnoliopsida; Brassicales; Brassicaceae
Description: long non-coding RNA (BNAP_LNC017775)
Source: RNAcentral